Molecule: ribosomal RNA, 349 nt
Filed under: uncultured bacterium
Lineage: Bacteria
Description: bacterial SSU rRNA
Rfam family: Bacterial small subunit ribosomal RNA
Source: RNAcentral
AGAGUUUGAUCAUGGCUCAGGAUGAACGCUAGCUACAGGCUUAACACAUGCAAGUCGAGGGGCAGCGGGGAGUAGCAAUACUCCGCCGGCGACCGGCGCACGGGUGCGUAACGCGUAUGCAACCUACCUUUAACGGGGGCAUAACACUGAGAAAUUGGUACUAAUUCCCCAUAACAUUCGAGAAGGCAUCUUCUUGGGUUAAAAACUCCGGUGGUUAAAGAUGGGCAUGCGUUGUAUUAGCUAGUUGGUGAGGUAACGGCUCACCAAGGCAACGAUACAUAGGGGGACUGAGAGGUUAACCCCCCACAUUGGUACUGAGACACGGACCAAACUCCUACGGGAGGCAGCA